This 1505-nucleotide ribosomal RNA is filed under the name metagenome. RNAcentral describes it as "bacterial SSU rRNA". It matches the Rfam family "Bacterial small subunit ribosomal RNA". The record is from RNAcentral.
AGAGUUUGAUCCUGGCUCAGAAUGAACGCUGGCGGAGUGCUUAAUACAUGCAAGUCGUGCGAGAAAGUUUCUUCGGAAAUGAGUAGAGCGGCGAACGGGUGAGUAACACGUAAAUAACCUGCCCUUAAGUCUGGGACAACCUUGCUAACGCGAGGCUAAUACCGGAUGUGAUGAUGAAAACUCCUGUUUUCUUCAUUAAAGGUCCUUCGGGAUUGCUUAAGGAUGGAUUUGCGGACCAUUAGUUAGUUGGUAGGGUAAUGGCCUACCAAGACGAUGAUGGUUAGCCGACCUGAGAGGGUGAUCGGCCACAUUGGGACUGAGACACGGCCCAGACUCCUACGGGAGGCAGCAGUAGGGAAUCUUGCGCAAUGGACGAAAGUCUGACGCAGCAACUCCGCGUGGAGGAUGACGGUUUUCGGAUUGUAAACUCCUUUUAUUUGGGAAGAAUAGGUAGUGUAGGUAAUGACACUACUCUGACGGUACCAUUUGAAUAAGCAACGGCUAAAUACGUGCCAGCAGCCGCGGUAAUACGUAUGUUGCAAGCGUUAUUCGGAAUCACUGGGCGUAAAGAGUUCGUAGGCGGAUUUUCAAGUCAGAAGUGAAAUUUUGGGGCUCAACCCCGAAACUGCUUUUGAAACUGUUAAUCUUGAGUAUGUGAGAGGUAGAUGGAAUUUCUGGUGUAGCGGUGGAAUGCGUAGAUAUCAGAAAGAACACCGAUGGCGAAGGCAAUCUACUGGCACAAUACUGACGCUGAGGAACGAAAGCGUGGGGAGCGAACAGGAUUAGAUACCCUGGUAGUCCACGCCGUAAACGAUGGACACUAGUUGUCGGGAAGCUUGACUUCUCGGUGACGUAGCUAACGUGUUAAGUGUCCCGCCUGGGGAGUACGUCCGCAAGGAUGAAACCCAAAGGAAUUGACGGGGGCCCGCACAAGCGGUGGAGCAUGUGCUUUAAUUCGAUGCAACGCGGAGAACCUUACCUGGUCUUGACAUACCAUUGACCGCUACAGAGAUGUAGUUUUUUCUUCGGAAACAGUGGAUACAGGUGCUGCAUGGUUGUCGUCAGCUCGUGUCGUGAGAUGUUGGGUUAAGUCCCGCAACGAGCGCAACCCUUGUCCUUAGUUGCUAGCAGGUAAUGCUGAGAACUCUAAGGAGACUGCCUACGCAAGUAGGAGGAAGGUGAGGAUGACGUCAAAUCAUCAUGGCCCCUUACGACCAGGGCUAGACACGUGCUACAAUGGACGGUACAAUGGGUUGCUACACAGCGAUGUGAUGCUAAUCUCAAAAAACCGUUCUCAGUUCGGAUAGGAGUCUGCAACUCGACUCCUUGAAGUUGGAAUCGCUAGUAAUCGUGGAUCAGAAUGCCACGGUGAAUACGUUCCCGGGCCUUGUACACACCGCCCGUCAAGCCACGGAAGUUGGUUGUGCCCAAAAUCGUUUCAUUAACCUUCGGGAUGUGAGCGACUAAGGUAAAUCCGAUAACUGGGGCUAAGUCGUAACAAGGUA